AGAGUUUGAUCCUGGCUCAGGAUGAACGCUGGCGGUAUGCGUAACACAUGCAAGUCGAACGAAGUUUUUCGGAACUUAGUGGCGGACGGGUGAGUAACGCGUGAGAAUCUGCCUUAAGGAUUGGGACAACAGUGGGAAACCGCUGCUAAUACCAAAUAUGCCUUUUAGUGAAACGGGUAAAACCGCCUUAAGAUGAGCUCGCGUCUGAUUAGCUAGUUGGUGUGGUAAGAGCGCACCAAGGCAACGAUCAGUAGCUGGUCUGAGAGGACGACCAGCCACACUGGGACUGAGACACGGCCCAGACUCCUACGGGAGGCAGCAGUGAGGAAUUUUCCGCAAUGGGCGAAAGCCUGACGGAGCAAUACCGCGUGAGGGAGGAAGGUUCUUGGAUUGUAAACCUCUUUUCUCAGAGAAGAAUAAUGACGGUAUCUGAGGAAUAAGCAUCGGCUAACUCCGUGCCAGCAGCCGCGGUAAUACGGAGGAUGCAAGCGUUAUCCGGAAUGAUUGGGCGUAAAGGGUCUGUAGGUGGUUGUUCAAGUCUGCUGUUAAAGCGUCUGGCUUAACCAGAUAAAGGCGGUGGAAACUGAACGACUAGAGUGCGGUAGGGGUAGAGGGAAUUCCCAGUGUAGCGGUGAAAUGCGUAGAUCUUGGGAAGAACACCUGUGGCGAAAGCGCUCUACUGGACCGCGACUGACACUCAUGGACGAAAGCUAGGGGAGCGAAUGGGAUUAGAUACCCCCGUAGUCC
This 747-nucleotide ribosomal RNA is filed under the name uncultured cyanobacterium. Its description in RNAcentral is "bacterial SSU rRNA". It matches the Rfam family "Bacterial small subunit ribosomal RNA", at positions 8 to 796 of the family's 1533-position model. The record is from RNAcentral. Lineage: Bacteria; Bacillati; Cyanobacteriota.